Non-coding RNA from Nasonia vitripennis (jewel wasp), 79 nucleotides. The record is from Rfam. Lineage: Eukaryota; Metazoa; Arthropoda; Insecta; Hymenoptera; Pteromalidae.
AUGAUGAUUUAGAUUUUUUACGUUUAUGGUUUAAACUGAAACAAGCCAUGUAGAAAUUUUUCUAGGGCGGUCUGAGCAA